AGAGUUUGAUCAUGGCUCAGAAUCAACGCUGGCGGCGUGCCUAAUACAUGCAAGUCGAACGCGAAAGUGGAGCAAUCCAUGAGUAGAGUGGCAAACGGGUGAGUAACGCGUGGGUGACCUGCCUUCGAGCGGGGGAUAACGUUCCGAAAGGGACGCUAAUACCGCAUAACAUCCUGCCUUUUAAGAGGUGGAGAUCAAAG
This 200-nucleotide ribosomal RNA is filed under the name uncultured bacterium. RNAcentral describes it as "partial 16S ribosomal RNA". It matches the Rfam family "Bacterial small subunit ribosomal RNA", at positions 8 to 206 of the family's 1533-position model. The record is from RNAcentral.